CGCCAGUCUGCAUGGAGCCGACCUUGAAAUACCACCCUUUAAUGUUUGAUGUUCUAACGUUGACCCGUGAUCCGGGUUGCGGACAGUGUCUGGUGGGUAGUUUGACUGGGGCGGUCUCCUCCUAAAGAGUAACGGAGGAGCACGAAGGUUGGCUAAUCCUGGUCGGACAUCAGGAGGUUAGUGCAAUGGCAUAAGCCAGCUUGACUGCGAGCGUGACGGCGCGAGCAGGUGCGAAAGCAGGUCAUAGUGAUCCGGUGGUUCUGAAUGGAAGGGCCAUCGCUCAACGGAUAAAAGGUACUCCGGGGAUAACAGGCUGAUACCGCCCAAGAGUUCAUAUCGACGGCGGUGUUUGGCACCUCGAUGUCGGCUCAUCACAUCCUGGGGCUGAAGUAGGUCCCAAGGGUAUGGCUGUUCGCCAUUUAAAGUGGUACGCGAGCUGGGUUUAGAACGUCGUGAGACAGUUCGGUCCCUAUCUGCCGUGGGCGCUGGAGAACUGAGGGGGGCUGCUCCUAGUACGAGAGGACCGGAGUGGACGCAUCACUGGUGUUCGGGUUGUCAUGCCAAUGGCACUGCCCGGUAGCUAAAUGCGGAAGAGAUAAGUGCUGAAAGCAUCUAAGCACGAAACUUGCCCCGAGAUGAGUUCUCCCUGACUCCUUGAGAGUCCUGAAGGAACGUUGAAGACGACGACGUUGAUAGGCCGGGUGUGUAAGCGCAGCGAUGCGUUGAGCUAACCGGUACUAAUGAACCGUGAGG
This 753-nucleotide ribosomal RNA is filed under the name Escherichia coli. Its description in RNAcentral is "partial 23S ribosomal RNA". It matches the Rfam family "Bacterial large subunit ribosomal RNA", at positions 2169 to 2916 of the family's 2925-position model. Lineage: Bacteria; Pseudomonadati; Pseudomonadota; Gammaproteobacteria; Enterobacterales; Enterobacteriaceae. The record is from RNAcentral.